UACGAAGGGGGGCUAGCGUUGCUCGGAAUCACUGGGCGUAAAGGGUGCGUAGGCGGGUCUUUAAGUCAGGGGUGAAAUCCUGGAGCUCAACUCCAGAACUGCCUUUGAUACUGAAGAUCUUGAGUUCGGGAGAGGUGAGUGGAACUGCGAGUGUAGAGGUGAAAUUCGUAGAUAUUCGCAAGAACACCAGUGGCGAAGGCGGCUCACUGGCCCGAUACUGACGCUGAGGUGCGAAAGCGUGGGGAGCAAACAGG
Molecule: ribosomal RNA, 254 nt
Filed under: uncultured bacterium
Lineage: Bacteria
Description: partial 16S ribosomal RNA
Rfam family: Bacterial small subunit ribosomal RNA
Source: RNAcentral